RNAcentral lists this long non-coding RNA (450 nucleotides) under Cavia porcellus (domestic guinea pig). Its description in RNAcentral is "lncRNA (ENSCPOG00000039969.1)". Lineage: Eukaryota; Metazoa; Chordata; Mammalia; Rodentia; Caviidae. The record is from RNAcentral.
UGCUGCACUACAGGAGAUUCUUCCAGAAGAAGCCCUGGAGUAAAGGACAGGGUCCAGUUCUGCUGGCAACAGGCUCAGAGGGAGCGAGCCCUAAGAAAUCACUGAGCCUGCACUAUUCUGAUAGAAGACAUACAGUUUGAAACCAAGUCCAGAAGCAUGAUUAGGAGAGUUGAAGAUCACGCUGCCUGCAGCUUCAUGCAUCCGCAGAGACGCCCCAGCAUCUGGAGCAGGGCUUGGCCUGCGAUUGAAGUUCGGUGGAUGCUACACAUGGCAAAGCACGAAGUGACCCCGGAUAUGCAGCCAGCCUCACGUGGAUGCCCAUCGGAAUGUAUGAAUUUUGAACAUACAAAAACUAGUGAAAUCCCUAAGUAUUUAUAUGUUAACUCAGUCACAGCAGCACUUAAAAUUAUGUACCACAUAUAAUUAUAAUUCCAUUAUACUGCUUUGAUC